CUUUUUUUGGCAGAUUAGUGCAUUAAAUUUAGAAUUUAAACAUAGAAAUAUUUCUAAAAAAGA
RNAcentral lists this transfer RNA (63 nucleotides) under Paracyclopina nana. Its description in RNAcentral is "tRNA-Leu". The record is from RNAcentral. Lineage: Eukaryota; Metazoa; Arthropoda; Copepoda; Cyclopoida; Cyclopettidae.